CCUACGGGAGGCAGCAGUAGGGAAUCUUUCACAAUGGGCGAAAGCCUGAUGGAGCAACGCCGCGUGCAGGAUGAAGGCCUUCGGGUUGUAAACUGCUUUUAUAAGCGAGAAAUAUGAUGGUAACUUAUGAAUAAGGAUCGGCUAAAUACGUGCCAGAGGCCGCGGUCAUACGUAGGAUCCGAGCAUUAUCCGGAGUGACGGGGUGUAAAAAGUUGCGUAGGUGGUAUAAUAAAUAGAUAGUGAACUCUGGUGGCUCAACCAUUCAGACUAUAUGCUAAACUGUUAAGCUCGAGAGGGUUAGGGGUAGCUGGAAUUUCUGGUGUAGGGGUGAAAUCCGUAGAUAUUAGAAGGAACACCAAUAGCGAAGGCAGGUUACUGGGACAGUUCUGACGCUAAGGCACGAAAGCGUAGGGAGCAAACGGGAUUAGAUACCCGUGUAGUC
Molecule: ribosomal RNA, 442 nt
Filed under: uncultured bacterium
Lineage: Bacteria
Description: partial 16S ribosomal RNA
Rfam family: Bacterial small subunit ribosomal RNA
Source: RNAcentral